AGUGAACGCUGGCGGUAUGCCUAACACAUGCAAGUCGAACGGGAGCACAGUAAGAGCUUGCUCUUACGGGUGUCGAGUGGCGGACGGGUGAGGAAUACAUCGGAAUCUACUUUUUCGUGGGGGAUAACGUAGGGAAACUUACGCUAAUACCGCAUACGACCUACGGGUGAAAGCAGGGGAUCUUCUGACCUUGCGCGAUUGAAUGAGCCGAUGUCGGAUUAGCUAGUUGGCGGGGUAAAGGCCCACCAAGGCGACGAUCCGUAGCUGGUCUGAGCGGAUGAUCAGCCACACUGGAACUGAGACACGGUCCAGACUCCUACGGGAGGCAGCAGUGGGGAAUAUUGGACAAUGGGCGCAAGCCUGAUCCAGCAAUACCGCGUGGGUGAAGAAGGCCUUCGGGUUGUAAAGCCCUUUUGUUGGGAAAGAAAAGCAGCAGGUUAAUACCCCGCUGUUAUGACGGUACCCAAAGAAUAAGCACCGGCUAACUUCGUG
Molecule: ribosomal RNA, 492 nt
Filed under: uncultured bacterium
Lineage: Bacteria
Description: partial 16S ribosomal RNA
Rfam family: Bacterial small subunit ribosomal RNA
Source: RNAcentral